GUAGCUCUAGUUAUGGUCAAUUUACCAAGUACUAGUCCAGUGAUAAAUGCUAUUCCAAAUCAGGGCAGAUUCUAGAACUCAACUUUGUCAAGCUAAUUGGACAAGUUAUAGUCAUAAUUUGGCUUAGUGUUCUUCAUAUGAGUUGUUCCCCUAUGUCUCAAGGUUAGACAGAUUCAGGAAUCACUAAAUUUGAAAUUAUGUAGGGUAAGUUAUGGGUAAU
RNAcentral lists this unclassified non-coding RNA (220 nucleotides) under Hevea brasiliensis (rubber tree). The record is from RNAcentral. Lineage: Eukaryota; Viridiplantae; Streptophyta; Magnoliopsida; Malpighiales; Euphorbiaceae.